RNAcentral lists this small RNA (103 nucleotides) under uncultured Prevotella sp. Its description in RNAcentral is "RT-5 RNA". It matches the Rfam family "RT-5 RNA". From Rfam's summary of the family: Clostridium (Firmicutes). The record is from RNAcentral. Lineage: Bacteria; Pseudomonadati; Bacteroidota; Bacteroidia; Bacteroidales; Prevotellaceae.
UGCGCCUGCAAAGGAGGCAGCCUUACCCAUACUUAUAUGUUUUGCAGGCAACAGGGCAAGGUAUCCUCUCGUAAUCAGCAAUUUUGCUGAUUCAAAAUUAUUC